UGGUGGUGAUGAGGACUACUAAUCAACAAAUACUUAAACCUAUCCCAAGCUUGGUAUAUAUUUUCUACUCAUUUAUGUUUGAAACUUAAUAUCUCAUUCCUCAACUU
This is a small nucleolar RNA of Solanum dulcamara, 107 nucleotides long. The record is from RefSeq and is a predicted model, not a curated record. Lineage: Eukaryota; Viridiplantae; Streptophyta; Magnoliopsida; Solanales; Solanaceae.